AGUUUGAUCCUGGCUCAGACGAGCUGGCGGCAGGCUUAACACAUGCAAGUCGAACGGGCGUAGCAAUACGUCAGUGGCAGACGGUGAGUAACACGUGGGAACCUUCCUAGGGGUACGGAACAACUCAGGGAAACUUGAGCUAAUACCGUAUACGUCCGUGAGGAGAAAGAUUUAUCGCCCUUAGACGGGCCCGCGUCGGAUUAGCUAGUUGGUGGGGUAACGGCCUACCAAGGCGACGAUCCGUAGCUGAUCUGAGAGGAUGAUCAGCCACACUGGGACUGAGACACGGCCCAGACUCCUACGGGAGGCAGCAGUGGGGAAUCUUGGACAAUGGGCGCAAGCCUGAUCCAGCCAUGCCGCGUGAGUGAAGAAGGCCUUCGGGUUGUAAAGCUCUUUUGUCAGGGACGAUAAUGACGGUACCUGAAGAAUAAGCCCCGGCAAACUUCGUG
RNAcentral lists this ribosomal RNA (449 nucleotides) under uncultured bacterium. RNAcentral describes it as "bacterial SSU rRNA". It matches the Rfam family "Bacterial small subunit ribosomal RNA", at positions 10 to 507 of the family's 1533-position model. The record is from RNAcentral.